Long non-coding RNA from Myxocyprinus asiaticus (Chinese sucker), 588 nucleotides. RefSeq lists it as uncharacterized. The transcript has 5 exons. The record is from RefSeq and is a predicted model, not a curated record. NCBI's taxonomy places the organism in Eukaryota, Metazoa, Chordata, Actinopteri, Cypriniformes, Catostomidae.
GGAGAAUGCAGAAGUGAUGUGUGUCGUGGGGCAACCGAUAGUUCCAAACACUGAAUAGUUCCAGCACUGAACCCCAUUCAUUUCAGUGUUUCUCAAGCACACUCGCUGCUGACAUGUGAACCCAUGGGAGACUGACUUUGAUGACCUAGCAAGCCAGUUAUCUACAAAUGAUCCAAAAAGCAAUAAGGUUUAUUGGAACUUGUGCAAUAACUUUUGGUCUUCUGAAAUUGGCAGUCUGUCAAAUGGCUAUAAUUACUACAUGGUUCACUUGAUACAUCUGAAAAUACCCACAAAUUUAAACUGAGAGUUUGCAUUUGAAGUCCAAAGUAAUUAUUUAAUUUCAGAUUCAAUGUACUGCACAGAAAUCAUGCCAAUGUCCAAAUAUGUAUGGACCUAACUGUAGUUUUCUCCAGCAGCAACAGGCUCGACUCGACUCAAGAUUCAGUCUCCUCUGGGGCCUAUGACGUGGUCUGCUACCAGUGGUGGAAUGAGACUGAAUGAGUUUCUAUGAAGACUGCCCAUUCAAGGAAAAACGUAUCAAACCUCACCCUGGAUAUAUUAUAUAAUAAAAUGUUUUGUUUAAUGUGA